CCGGAAUUACUGGGUGUAAAGGGAGUGUAGGCGGGACUUCAAGUCCGUUGUUAAACCGAUCGGCUCAACUGAUCGCUGCGGCGGAAACUGAAGUUCUUGAGUGAGGUAGAGGCAGGCGGAAUUCCCAGUGUAGCGGUGAAAUGCGUAGAUAUUGGGAGGAACACCAGUGGCGAAGGCGGCCUGCUGGGCCUUAACUGACGCUGAGGCUCGAAAGUGUGGGGAGCAAACAGGAUUAGAUACCCUGGUAGUCCACACUGUAAACGAUGAUUACUAGGUGUGGGGGGACUGACCCCUUCCGUGCCGGAGUGAACACAAUAAGUAAUCCACCUGGGGAGUACGACCGCAAGGUUGAAACUCAAAGGAAUUGACGGGGGCCCGCACAAGCAGUGGAGUAUGUGGUUUAAUUCGAAGCAACGCGAAGAACCUUACCAGGUCUUGACAUCGUGUGCAUAGCGCGGAGACGCGUGAAGCCCUUCGGGGCACACAGACAGGUGGUGCAUGGUUGUCGUCAGCUCGUGUCGUGAGAUGUUGGGUUAAGUCCCGCAACGAGCGCAACCCUUACGAUUAGUUACUACGAAAGAGGACUCUAAUAGGACUGCCGUUGACAAAACGGAGGAAGGUGGGGAUGACGUCAAAUCAUCAUGCCCUUUAUGACCUGGGCUACACACGUACUACAAUGAUGGUAAACAGAGGGAAGCAAGACCGCGAGGUGGAGCGAACCCCUAAAAGCCAUCUCAGUUCGGAUCGCAGGCUGCAACCCGCCUGCGUGAAGCUGGAAUUGCUAGUAAUCGCGGAUCAGC
RNAcentral lists this ribosomal RNA (800 nucleotides) under uncultured bacterium. RNAcentral's name for it is "bacterial SSU rRNA". It matches the Rfam family "Bacterial small subunit ribosomal RNA", at positions 545 to 1353 of the family's 1533-position model. The record is from RNAcentral.